Molecule: long non-coding RNA, 989 nt
Organism: Callithrix jacchus (white-tufted-ear marmoset)
Lineage: Eukaryota; Metazoa; Chordata; Mammalia; Primates; Cebidae
Source: RefSeq, a predicted model, not a curated record
AAGUGCACAGCCUGCGUUUACCUUGGGUGAACACUGGGUCUGGGCAAUGCGCAAAGAACUGAAGGGGACAAGCUAGAAAAGGGCUCCUUGUCUGCCUCUAUAAACCACGUGUGUGUACGUCUCAGCGAGCCCGUGGAUAAAAAAGGCAAAGAAGCAGAGACCAAGAGGGAGCGCCUAAGAGGCACAGAGAAAGAGACAUAGAGAGACAGACAGAGGAGAGCCCAGGCGCAGGGGAUGGGGCAGGCAGAGCAAGCACUUCCUGGUGAACUAGUCCCCCUGUGAUUGGCUGCUCCUAGAGAACAGUUUCCCUGGAGGCAGUUGCUGUGCAACUGCUUCCUGCAAUUAACUGACUUGAUUGACUUUGUCUGUUUCUCCCCCUCCCUUAACCUCUUGUUUGCCAAGCCAUCUGAGGAGCCACACCUUCUCCUGCAAGAGCAGGUCCCUCGUGGCGGACACAUGUGCAUCUCAAAGUGCAAAGCCCCACUGGGAAACAUCAGUUUGGGGGUCAUGAUUUCACGUAGUGCGUGAGCAGUUGGCUUAAGAUGAGCAUACUGGCUCUUGGAGAGUUGGAACACUAGCCCCAAACACAGAACAACAUGAACUGAGACGGGACUCAGACCCAAGGCAGUCGGACUCUAGAGUCGAGUUUUUAAUUCAAGCUGGGGCCGGAGGAGAGACUCAACUUUGCUCUGAGCCACUGACGAGCUGUAAAGUGAGAUACUUAUUUGAAGUAAUAAAGAGGUAAUUCUUUACCUAGGUUAUCCUAAAUGUUUCUCAAGGGAAAGUUUUCUGCAUUUCCUUGUUAUAACUAAUCAUUCUACCAGAAUAAGACUUGCAUAACGUUAUCUAUUAGAAAAAAAAAAAAAAAGAGGUUAAAUAGAAAGACAAGUGACUGAGUGACACCACUGAGAAUUCUUUAAAGAAAGCAACCAGCUCAGUGGGGGCACCUAUAUUUAGCCAACGAGUCAGACACAUUUUCUUACCUAGGA